This 96-nucleotide microRNA precursor is filed under the name Solanum tuberosum (potato). RNAcentral describes it as "MIR390 microRNA precursor family". It matches the Rfam family "MIR390 microRNA precursor family". Lineage: Eukaryota; Viridiplantae; Streptophyta; Magnoliopsida; Solanales; Solanaceae. The record is from Rfam by way of RNAcentral.
AUAGAGAAUCUAUAAAGCUCAGGAGGGAUAGCACCAUGAAUACAUCUUAAUAACUAUCUAUAGCGCUAUCCAUCUUGAGUUUUAUGGCUUCUUCAU